This 209-nucleotide long non-coding RNA is filed under the name Citrus maxima (pomelo). RNAcentral describes it as "long non-coding RNA (CMAX_LNC003898)". Lineage: Eukaryota; Viridiplantae; Streptophyta; Magnoliopsida; Sapindales; Rutaceae. The record is from RNAcentral.
CUCAAGCACAAGACAAAAUGGGUUGUACACAUGGGCAAAGAUUACUGUAUGAGAACUAUUAAAAGGAUCAUCAUCAGCAGUGCACUUGAAUAUAAAAAGAAUAAGAGGACAACGAGAAACACUUCAAACUUGAAGGAUGUUUCAUAUUGAGUUAAGCCAGCUAAAUUAAGGAUGGCAAUGGAAUGGGGUGUGGGCGAGGAGGCUUAUCC